UAUUAGGUUGGUGCAAAAGUAAUUGCAGUUUUUGCUAUUUUUAUGACAAAAACUGCAAUUACUUUUGCACCAGCCUAAUAUU
RNAcentral lists this microRNA precursor (82 nucleotides) under Pan paniscus (pygmy chimpanzee). Its description in RNAcentral is "miRNA (ENSPPAG00000007217.1)". The record is from RNAcentral. Lineage: Eukaryota; Metazoa; Chordata; Mammalia; Primates; Hominidae.